RNAcentral lists this ribosomal RNA (253 nucleotides) under uncultured bacterium. RNAcentral describes it as "partial 16S ribosomal RNA". It matches the Rfam family "Bacterial small subunit ribosomal RNA", at positions 524 to 776 of the family's 1533-position model. The record is from RNAcentral.
UACGUAGGGUGCAAGCGUUGUCCGGAAUUAUUGGGCGUAAAGAGCUCGUAGGCGGCUUGUCACGUCGGGUGUGAAAGCCCGGGGCUUAACCCCGGGUCUGCAUUCGAUACGGGCAGGCUAGAGUGUGGUAGGGGAGAUCGGAAUUCCUGGUGUAGCGGUGAAAUGCGUAGAUAUCUGGAGGAACACCGGUGGCGAAGGCGGCAUCCUGGACCGGCAUUGACGCUAAGGCGCGAAAGCGUGGGGAGCAAACAGG